Molecule: ribosomal RNA, 253 nt
Filed under: uncultured bacterium
Lineage: Bacteria
Description: partial 16S ribosomal RNA
Rfam family: Bacterial small subunit ribosomal RNA
Source: RNAcentral
UACGUAGGGGGCUAGCGUUGUCCGGAAUCAUUGGGCGUAAAGAGCGUGUAGGCGGCCCGGUAAGUCCGCUGUAAAAGUCAAAGGCUCAACCUUUGAAUGUCAGUGGAUACUGCCGGGCUAGAGUCCGGAAGAGGCGAGUGGAACUCCUGGUGUAGCGGUGAAAUGCGCAGAUAUCAGGAGGAACACCAAUGGCGAAGGCAGCUCGCUGGGACGUGACUGACGCUGAGACGCGAAAGCGUGGGGAGCAAACAGG